This 678-nucleotide long non-coding RNA is filed under the name Nicotiana benthamiana. RNAcentral's name for it is "long non-coding RNA (NBEN_LNC020627)". The record is from RNAcentral. Lineage: Eukaryota; Viridiplantae; Streptophyta; Magnoliopsida; Solanales; Solanaceae.
UUAAAUAGCUAAAAUACCAGUUGCAGACAAGAGAACACAAUAAUAAUAAGCAGUUGUGCACAAUAUAAGCAAAGUAUGCAGAGAAUAAGAGCAGCAAGGUGAGAGCAGCAAUGUGCAGCAAAUAGAGAAUGGUAGUGUGCAGCAAAAAAUGCAGCACUGUGCAGCAAAAAGAGCAGCAGGCAAACCCAAGAAAGUAAUGUAGCAGAACCUGACUAGUGCAGAAGUAAACAACCAAGAUUACUCAAUCUUGGAUUUCAGCCGAUUGAGUGAGAGAGUUUUUAGGAAAGAAACAAAAUAGUAGAGAGAUAGAGAGCACUGAGUGUUAUUGAAAGAAAGUUCAGAGAGACUGUAAUGCCUCAGUAUGAGAGAUAUGCAAUGUGUUGGUGUCUUUUAAAGAGAAUGUGGGAGGGUACUUAUAGUACUAAAAGAGUAAACAAAUAAAGUAUCAGUUCAUAUUUAAGGAACUGAUAUCAAUCAUAAUCACACACGCAUAUGACUCCUCUUUAAUUAAAGAGUCAGAGGCACACAGUAAUAAGCAUCCAUUUUAAAAAGGAAAGGAAUCAUAAAGUAUGGCCUGAUCACAUAAGGAAACAAGAAUAGAACCAGGUAUAUAAUAAAGACUAGGUGCAUGAUACUUAACAAAAAAACAUAUCAAUCAAGUAAAUUAGCGUAUUUGUG